UACGGGGGGGGCAAGCGUUGUUCGGAAUUACUGGGCGUAAAGGGCUUGUAGGUGGCCAACUAAGUCAGACGUGAAAUCCCCCGGCUUAACCGGGGAACUGCGUCUGAUACUGGAUGGCUAGAGAUUGGGAGAGGGACGCGGAAUUCCAGGUGUAGCGGUGAAAUGCGUAGAUAUCUGGAGGAACACCGGUGGCGAAGGCGGCGUCCUGGUCCAGCACCGACGUUCAGGCACGAAAGCGUGGGGAGCAAACAGG
RNAcentral lists this ribosomal RNA (253 nucleotides) under uncultured bacterium. RNAcentral's name for it is "partial 16S ribosomal RNA". It matches the Rfam family "Bacterial small subunit ribosomal RNA", at positions 524 to 776 of the family's 1533-position model. The record is from RNAcentral.